This 118-nucleotide small nuclear RNA is filed under the name Crocodylus porosus (Australian saltwater crocodile). Its description in RNAcentral is "U2 spliceosomal RNA (ENSCPRG00005011905.1)". The record is from RNAcentral. Lineage: Eukaryota; Metazoa; Chordata; Crocodylia; Crocodylidae.
UGUCCUCCAUAGGAGGUCUAUAUUGAGCAGAUUCUUUUUGGUAUUGGGUGGUGGAACCGGAGCGUGCUCCAUCCACUCCAUGCAUUGACCUGGUAUUGCAGUGCUUCCAGGACCGUGC